UAUCUCUGUAGAGUCUGCAUAUCAAUAAGCGGAGGAAAAGAAACUAACUAGGAUUCCCUCAGUAACGGCGAGUGAAGCGGGAAGAGCUCAAAUUUGAAAUCUUCAAGGUUUUACCUUGACGAAUUGCUAGUUUAAAGAAGUGUUUUCUGUUGGAGUUUUGGUAAAAGUUCUUUGGAAUAGGACAUCAUAGAGGGUGAGAAUCCCGUAUUUGACCAUUAUUUCCAGCUUUGUGAUACACUUUCAAAGAGUCGGAUUGUUUGGGAAUGCAGUCCAAAAUGGGUGGUAAAUUUCAUCUAAAGCUAAAUAUUGGCGAGAGACCGAUAGCGAACAAGUACCGUGAGGGAAAGAUGAAAAGAACUUUGAAAAGAGAGUUAAACAGGUACGUGAAAUUGUCAAAAGGGAAGCGUUUGACACCAGUGUUGUUUCUACGAAAAUCAAUUUAUGAUGGCUUGAUGCUAAGCUUUAAGACUUUAUCCGCUUGUUGUUUAGUUUUCUUGUCUUUGUGAAUGCACUUUUCGUGGAACAAGUCAACAUCAAUUUCUUUUGCUGUAAAAGGGUAAGAGGAAGGUGGCUUCGGCUUCGGUUGAAGUGUUUAUAGCCUUUUAUCUCUGCAGUCGGAGAGAUUGAGGUCUGCAGCGUAGACUCUUCGGGGUUAGAUACGUCGGUGCUAAGCUAUAGCUUUUCAUAGACAACUUGUUGACUAUGUUUAGUCAUGUGGCUUACCCGCUGGCGCUAUUUUACCUACGCUUAGGAUGUUGAGUCAUCACACAUCUCU
RNAcentral lists this ribosomal RNA (775 nucleotides) under uncultured Neocallimastigales. RNAcentral describes it as "partial large subunit ribosomal RNA". It matches the Rfam family "Eukaryotic large subunit ribosomal RNA", at positions 24 to 618 of the family's 3401-position model. The record is from RNAcentral. Lineage: Eukaryota; Fungi; Neocallimastigomycota; Neocallimastigomycetes; Neocallimastigales.